GAUGCUGACUUUCUGCAGCUUGAAUCCUGGUCCUGAAACAAGCCUCAGCUGGGCCUGGAGCACAGAAACAAGGUCUGUGAACUUGCUUAACAGCACAGAAACCACCAAACAAGAAAUAAAGCCCAAUUAAGAAAAACGAAGGAAGAGGCUCAGGAGAACAGUUUGUUUGGGUAGGGCUGUGCCGUCAGACCCCAGCUGACCCCUUUACUCCUCCUGGUGAAG
This 222-nucleotide long non-coding RNA is filed under the name Anser brachyrhynchus (Pink-footed goose). RNAcentral's name for it is "lncRNA (ENSABRG00000016483.1)". The record is from RNAcentral. Lineage: Eukaryota; Metazoa; Chordata; Aves; Anseriformes; Anatidae.